UGAACGCUGGCGGCAGGCCUAACGCAUGCAAGUCGAGCGGAUGAAGGGAGCUUGCUCCUGGAUUCAGCGGCGGACGGGUGAGUAAUGCCUAGGAAUCUGCCUGGUAGUGGGGGAUAACGUCCGGAAACGGGCGCUAAUACCGCAUACGUCCUGAGGGAGAAAGUGGGGGAUCUUCGGACCUCACGCUAUCAGAUGAGCCUAGGUCGGAUUAGCUAGUUGGUGGGGUAAAGGCCUACCAAGGCGACGAUCCGUAACUGGUCUGAGAGGAUGAUCAGUCACACUGGAACUGAGACACGGUCCAGACUCCUACGGGAGGCAGCAGUGGGGAAUAUUGGACAAUGGGCGAAAGCCUGAUCCAGCCAUGCCGCGUGUGUGAAGAAGGUCUUCGGAUUGUAAAGCACUUUAAGUUGGGAGGAAGGGCAGUAAGUUAAUACCUUGCUGUUUUGACGUUACCAACAGAAUAAGCACCGGCUAACUUCGUG
This 482-nucleotide ribosomal RNA is filed under the name uncultured bacterium. RNAcentral's name for it is "partial 16S ribosomal RNA". It matches the Rfam family "Bacterial small subunit ribosomal RNA", at positions 30 to 507 of the family's 1533-position model. The record is from RNAcentral.